GACGAACGCUGGCGGCGUGCUUAACACAUGCAAGUAGAGCGGUAAGGCCCUUUCGGGGGUACACGAGCGGCGAACGGGUGAGUAACACGUGGGUGACCUGCCCUCAGCUCUGGGAUAAGCCUGGGAAACCGGGUCUAAUACUGGAUAUGACUCCAUGACGCAUGUUGUGGGGUGGAAAGCCUUGUGCGGCUGAGGAUGGGCCCGCGGCCUAUCAGCUUGUUGGUGGGGUGAGGCCUACCAAGGCGACGACGGGUAGCCGGCCUGAGAGGGCGACCGGCCACACUGGGACUGAGACACGGCCCAGACUCCUACGGGAGGCAGCAGUGGGGAAUCUUGCGCAAUGGGCGAAAGCCUGACGCAGCGACGCCGCGUGAGGGAUGACGGCCUGGUGUAAC
This 395-nucleotide ribosomal RNA is filed under the name uncultured bacterium. Its description in RNAcentral is "bacterial SSU rRNA". It matches the Rfam family "Bacterial small subunit ribosomal RNA", at positions 28 to 429 of the family's 1533-position model. The record is from RNAcentral.